UACGUAGGUGGCAAGCGUUAUCCGGAAUUAUUGGGCGUAAAGAGCGCGCAGGUGGUUGAUUAAGUCUGAUGUGAAAGCCCACGGCUUAACCGUGGAGGGUCAUUGGAAACUGGUCGACUUGAGUGCAGAAGAGGGAAGUGGAAUUCCAUGUGUAGCGGUGAAAUGCGUAGAGAUAUGGAGGAACACCAGUGGCGAAGGCGGCUUCCUGGUCUGUAACUGACACUGAGGCGCGAAAGCGUGGGGAGCAAACAGGAUUAGAUACCCU
This 265-nucleotide ribosomal RNA is filed under the name uncultured prokaryote. Its description in RNAcentral is "partial 16S ribosomal RNA". It matches the Rfam family "Bacterial small subunit ribosomal RNA", at positions 524 to 788 of the family's 1533-position model. The record is from RNAcentral.